GGCUCGUUAGCUCAGUGGUUAGAGUGCCGCGCUCUCAUAGCGGAGGUCGUAGGUUCGAAUCCUACAUGAGCCC
This is a non-coding RNA of Exocentrus adspersus, 73 nucleotides long. The record is from the annotation of a GenBank genome assembly. Lineage: Eukaryota; Metazoa; Arthropoda; Insecta; Coleoptera; Cerambycidae.